Molecule: ribosomal RNA, 252 nt
Filed under: Klebsiella pneumoniae
Lineage: Bacteria; Pseudomonadati; Pseudomonadota; Gammaproteobacteria; Enterobacterales; Enterobacteriaceae
Description: partial 23S ribosomal RNA
Rfam family: Bacterial large subunit ribosomal RNA
Source: RNAcentral
AGGCCGAAAGGCGUAGUCGAUGGGAAACAGGUUAAUAUUCCUGUACUUGGUGUUACUGCGAAGGGGGGACGGAGAAGGCUAUGUUAGCCGGGCGACGGUUGUCCCGGUUUAAGCAUGUAGGCUGAUUGUCCAGGCAAAUCCGGAUAAUCAAGGCUGAGGUGUGAUGACGAGGCACUACGGUGCUGAAGUAACAAAUGCCCUGCUUCCAGGAAAAGCCUCUAAGCAUCAGGUAACAUCAAAUCGUACCCCAAA